This 26-nucleotide non-coding RNA is filed under the name Mus musculus (house mouse). Lineage: Eukaryota; Metazoa; Chordata; Mammalia; Rodentia; Muridae. The record is from RNAcentral.
UGAACUAACUUUGACACUGAGGGAGC